AUUGAACGCUGGCGGCAGGCCUAACACAUGCAAGUCGAACGGUAACAGGAAGAAGCUUGCUUCUUUGCUGACGAGUGGCGGACGGGUGAGUAAUGUCUGGGAGACUGCCUGAUGGAGGGGGAUAACUACUGGAAACGGUAGCUAAUACCGCAUACGUCGCAAGACCAAAGAGGGGGACCUUCGGGCCUCUUGCCAUCGGAUGUGCCCAGAUGGGAUUAGCUAGUAGGUGGGGUAACGGCUCACCUAGGCGACGAUCCCUAGCUGGUCUGAGAGGAUGACCAGCCACACUGGAACUGAGACACGGUCCAGACUCCUACGGGAGGCAGCAGUGGGGAAUAUUGCACAAUGGGCGCAAGCCUGAUGCAGCCAUGCCGCGUGUAUGAAGAAGGCCUUCGGGUUGUAAAGUACUUUCAGCGGGGAGGAAGGGAGUAAAGUUAAUACCUUUGCUCAUUGACGUUACCCGCAGAAGAAGCACCGGCUAACUCCGUG
RNAcentral lists this ribosomal RNA (489 nucleotides) under uncultured bacterium. RNAcentral's name for it is "partial 16S ribosomal RNA". It matches the Rfam family "Bacterial small subunit ribosomal RNA", at positions 30 to 507 of the family's 1533-position model. The record is from RNAcentral.